This is a long non-coding RNA of Columba livia (rock pigeon), 4342 nucleotides long. RefSeq lists it as uncharacterized. The transcript has 2 exons. The record is from RefSeq and is a predicted model, not a curated record. Lineage: Eukaryota; Metazoa; Chordata; Aves; Columbiformes; Columbidae.
GAUAGGUGGAGCAGGGAAGCAGAUCUGUACAUCACCAGGGACCGGGAAGGAGAAUUUGUAUUUGUGCUUGUAUGUGAGGCUGCACAGGGAUAGCAUGGAGACACAGCGAGAAGCAGGAGAGACAAGCAGAUGCAGAAGUCGCUGGGAAGUGGGAUGAGUGAAGAAAAGCAUCCGUAGAAGGAAGACUCAAUCAAGGAGGAGAAGCCAGUGGGCCAUCAAGUGAGGAUGAUGGCUUCAUGGGUGCCUGUCCAAUGAAAGACUCAGGUGCUUUCCUCAGGUCUGUGCACGGCUUCUUGUGGUUUCACAAGCUGGUCUGCAAAGGUCUCCUGCUGGUCUCUGUCUUUCUUCCUCUGUCUUUUGCAGCCAUGUUCCCCUUGCUCGAGUGUCAACAAACACUGAGGAGACAGAGGACAGGCUGAGACAUCUUGCGUCGUCUUACAGCAUUUUGAAGAUCAGCAUUGCUGAAACCCAGAACCAGAAGUGCUGAAAGCUACCAAAUUCAGGAAAUUAGGCAAAUGCACUGGGGAACACAAGGAGUUGGGACAGAGGAGGCAGAAUAACAACAGAGGGUUUCCUUGGGCUGGCUAACAUGUGAAUUGCACAGCCACAGGGUUCAUCAGCACCCUACUCCCUGGUUUCAGUUUUCAGUUUUUCAGGGUUAGUCCUUCACCAUCCUGUUGAUCUGGUCUGGAUGACAGAGACUCAGAGCAAAAUAGUUAUUCACCAUGACUUGAAAAGGACAGUCCUGCUCUUAAAAACAAUAUUUAUAUUCAAUGGAGACUGUAUCAUGUCUAAAAGCUGUAAGGGCUGGACUCAUGUAAGAUGAAGAUGGUCCUAUGAUUUUAGGCCUUCUUAUAUCUGCAUUUAGUGUACAGCUUCCAUAGCUGUAAUUAACGCAAUUUUCUGCUUGCCAUAGGCUCUUGUCCUUCCAAAAACACAGGGAUACCGUGUCUGGACAACGUCCUUGCUAAGCCAAAGACCUGUUUGCCUGCUGGACCCUAUGCAAUGCCUGUGAGACCAAGAGGAAGAAGACGACAAAGGUGAAAGGCUGUGCUCACCUUCUGGCUGCAGUUGCACCUCUGCCCCUGCUGCACCAUCCUCACUUGCCCACAAAACCCUGGAAUGUGGGGGAGAGCCCUACCAGUCUAUGUGUAAGUGCCAUCAGGAACUUCACUUGAAGGCAUGGACAGGAGUUGAAAACAAACAUUGUCUUCCUCCUAUGCUUCCAUACACUGACACAACUCAAUGGUUUGCAGCUUUUGGGACUUCUACCCUAUGCAUAAAUCCCAUGGGCCAUGCAGGCUCUCUUCCCCCUGCCACACACACUGUGUUGAAAAGUGAAGGACUUGGAGAAAUCGGAAGUGCAAGAAUUCAAGAAGACUGAAACAGCAGGGAUCUGUAAACAGGGUGCAGAUGGGGAGCAGGACAUGGUCUUUCUAAAACGUGUGCAACACAGCUGCCUGAUAGCUGCUGCCAGUGUUAGCCUGGUGGCUUGUCCUCUGCUGACAAAAUGCAUUGCUUGCCACUGGCUGCUGUUGCUUCACCUCAUUUGGUGAGUCCGUGCUCACGGAGGCGAAGGAGGCAAAAAGGGACCCCAGAAAGGUCUGUGGGAGGCCCAACACAGCUAGUAUGAAGUCUGCAGGGGGAAAAUUAAUUCAGCAAAAGUUGUGAAUAAAAGAAAUGGCAUAGUGAGCUUGCACAGGCUUGGCAUUUUUUGGUUUCCGUAGUGUUUGAGAUCCAGGUCUACAAAUCUUCAGUAAAAUCAUAACUUGGGAAGAUGAAGUGGUAAAGGCAUGUCAGUCUCACAUGUGUUGCUUCUCUUCAUUGUUGCUGUUGGAAAUAGAGAAUUACAGCUGUGAAAUUUAGAUGCUGUGAAGGACUGCUAGCCAGCCAGCUGCAGGGUUUCACCUCUGAGAUGAAAUUCUCUUGUAGUGGGAAAGUUUCUCAUUGCUUUGAGUUCUCUUUUGAGUCUCCUGGGAUGAAUACAAAAUGUGAUUAAUUACUGAAAAAGAGCUGCUGCAUCUCUAUUGGAGGUGCUAUUGGUAAAUGGGAAGCUCUGGGAUAUAUAGUCUGCAACUCACAGUAAGAUUUUAAAUAAGAUACUUGGGAAGCUGCAAAAUCAGCAGCCACUGGAAAACCCAUCAUCUCAAUGUUGGAUAUUUGGGAGAGGGUGGAAACCCGGCUUCAAAACCAACACAGCUAGCUUGCUUCUAAACUAUUUAGUUUAAAUCUAGCUCAGUGAGAGCCACACAAGUUGCUCUCUGAAACCUGAAGCCUGUGGAUGAAAUAUUAAAGAACAACUUGUUUCAUAACUAUAAUGAAAAAGGUAGAUGUCCUGAUUCUACUAAUAAUAAUUCUACUAGUAAUUACAGUAGUCAGUCCAUAUAGCUUACCCAUGCCUCAGCUUCCAGCAUAAAAAUAUGAGUGGUAUUCAUGUAUUUCAGGAAAUCCUUGCCAAGAUCAGCAAUUUGAUGUUUAAUGAAUGCUUCAUAUAUCUCAGGUGAAGAAAACACAAUAGAAGGGCAAACCUUAUCAGAAACAGAAUUGUAUUUCUUGAUUUCCAGGCCUGUCUUGCCUCAAGCAAGGGAGAAGUUUGGAUAGCAUAUUUAAUAUGAUUAACCAAGACUGAAGCCACAUGUUUCCUAGACUGGAAGAACUGCUAAAUCAUCAAAUUUUGCCCAGUCAUGUCACUGAAAUUGAUGCCAUACACCUGAAGAAGAUUGCUACACCCAAAUGUUUAUUUUUUCGAUGAUACCAGUUGACCUACUUUUACCUACAAAGGGAGGUACAAUCUGUUCCUAUCAAAGUGUCCUGAGACCAUCUCAGAUGCAUGAACUCUCCUUCUUUCAAACCUGUUUAUAGUGAAGUUAUCUUUUGGGUCCAGCCUGGCACAGAGAUGAAUUCAACAUGUGUCACCCUCUCCUUUCCAGUGGCGUUUCCGUGCCUCAAGAAACACGAUCUCUCACAAUAAGUAAUCCAAACAUUUGAUUUUCUCUGGGAAGUUGUGAUAAGAGCACGGGUGUCAUCCGAAGCACAUAAGGGAGAGCUGCUGAUCAUGGUGCAUGACAGCCCCGCUGCUGAGAAGUCCCAUGGGAGGAAGGAACCUGAGCCUGUGGGACCAGUGCAAAGGACGAAUCCAGCAUCUACCCCUGUGCUCUGACUGCUAAGUAGUUAUUUGCAGCUGAAUCCAGCUCUUCUUAGUAUCUGAAAAAGAGAACUGAAGCUUUGCUAAAGAAAGCCAAGCAACUGGUCUCAGGGGAUAUAAGAUACACUUUCAUUAUUAAUUUGUAUAUUUGCCUUGCUGCGGAUGACAUCUGAAGCUGCAUAGGAGGAAUGUAGCUGGAAGCUUUUUCCAAACAUGUAUUAUUUGGGGUCAUCAGGCUCUGAAAUAAAGCUGAAACCUGGAAGUUGUAGCGAGGGGAGGAGACAUGGAAGCUGUGAUUGAACCUUAACCCCAUGAGUGUGCUCACCAGCUGCUUGGGCUCUGUCCGCGCUGCCCAAAUUGUCUCAUAGAACAGCAUCACGUAGUUAGCUCCAUGACACAGUCAUCUGGAUUCAUGGAGCUUGUAACAUCUUCCUUAACUUUCAGACUAUUGACGUUUUCUAACAAGAAAUCCAAACUGUGACAAGGCAAACAGGCCUUGCGAAAGACAAGCAAAAUGGGAGCUGAUUCAGGCGUCUGUAAUUAGCUAGUGGCUGUGAACAUUUAUGAAAUCUCCCAGCAGUGAUGGCGAAGUGCUGAUUCUAGAGAAGCAGCUGCCCUCUCCCUUGAUGUGUUUAAUCCUCACAGUCCCAGCUGACGUGGCUCCAGUGUUGGAAAACUCUACCCUCUUUCUGGCCUCUGAUCAAAAUCAAUAUUUCAGAGAGAAACACAGAAGAGCAAAGGAGUUAAACAAAAGUUCAGAUAAGCAUAACAAAUGCUGGAAAGAUGAGAUCCUCCAAGCAGAGUGCUCUAGAAAGCACUCAGGUAAAUUUGGGUGAGGUUCUCAUCAAUUGCUGAGUGCAGAAGGAGCUAUUCUUGGACGCAUAAGGAGGUAAGGGAUUUAUUUCCUCAGCUGCAUGGAGUCAUGCUAUGAGAUAUCAUUAAGCAAGAAUAAUUAGUAUUUGAGCUUUCAACACUCAAGAUUUGUAGGUUUCCCUGUGUUUCCAGUCCUUUCCAAAAAGGCCAUUCCUAAGUGGUAGUCAGGAUUUCUGUACCGUUUAAUUAUGUAAUCCUUAUAAGUAAUCUCUUUAAAUCUGUGCAAUAAGUGGCUGUGUUGCUUUCCAUUUGUGCAUCUCUAGAUGUGCUUUGUAAUUAAUAGUUUGGGGUGAUAACAAAAUAAAACAUUGAAGUUUAUUUUAA